Molecule: transfer RNA, 61 nt
Filed under: Hygrobates longiporus
Lineage: Eukaryota; Metazoa; Arthropoda; Arachnida; Trombidiformes; Hygrobatidae
Description: tRNA-Asp
Source: RNAcentral
AAAAUACUAGUAAAAAAAAUUAUACUUCGCUGUCAGCGAAGAGUUACAAGUGUGUAUUUUU